GACCUGAGCUGAUGACUUCCAGCCUGAGCUGAGGAGCAGGGAGCUCACUGCUUUUUCACUGAUAGCUCCGGGAACUGAAGCAGAAGAGGGAGAUGUGGAUGGAGGAAGAAUGACAACAACUAAAUCAUCCUUCCAAGCUGAUUAGUGCAGAGCAUGUUGGAGUCAGGCUUGAGAGAGCUGGAAAAGGUUUCCAGCUAAGGGCUUUUUUUCUUAUCUUUCAGCAUUGUUUUUCUCAUCCUCCAGAGGUUCCCCAGCUCCCAAAACAUGGCAGCGUUCGAGAUGGGGCUGCAGCAUUUCCCAGCCUGCGAGGAUAUUUGUAGAGGGAGCAGAAAGUUUUGCAUGAACCUCUGGGAAGAUCUUUGCUGUUUGGGUGGCAUACAGGUUGCGUCUGUCAAAAAAAUGACAGAAACCACAAUUGGGUUGGAUCCCACAUCUUCCACCACAUCACCAUAUGUGCAAGAAGAAGCCAAAGAGAGGGGCCACAGCCCUCUCCCGCCACUGCAUGGGACCACGCCAUCGCCAGCAUUAGGUCAGGAGCAUGCUGGAGGUGCUGAUCCCAGUGGAAAACCUCCUCUCCCCUCUUCCCAAAACCACCCGUUGCCACUGGAGGGACUUGGCAUCAGCAUCAGCCCCUCCAUAAACACUUCGUCCUUGGGCACAAGAGGGCACUGAAACACCACCACGAUGGGAUGGUUUAUAUAUGCAAAUGGAGCUGCUGCAGCCGUAAAGACCCUUCUGCACCUUCCCUGGCUGCGCACGGGGGGGGGUGAGCAGACACAUCUGAAGGAUGCCCCUGUCUUGCACCCUGACAUGCAUGCCCGUGUUGCACCCUUACCAUUAAACUGCAUCAUUUUAGGAGCCAGCACUUCACCCUGUGUGAGCAGAGCUGUAUUUCUGGGCCUCGGACAUCAUCGCUUCCUGGGACACCCAGCGAAGCAAGAGCAACAAUAUCCCUUCUGCUUCGCUCUUGCUCAACUCUAACACCUGCUCUGUGCUUGCAAAACCAAAGAGCACCUUCGUCUGCUGGGACUGGAGCAGGUGGAAAUCACGCAUCUGUGCUCUGCAAACCGAAGAACGCUUAAUUGAUAUUAAUCUAAUCAAUGCAAAUCAUAUUAGCUCUCCUGGAAACACUAGGUCUUUACCAAUAGCGGCACUGACUAUUCUAUAUAAAUCAAAUUUACCAGCCUAUAAACAUUAGUACAUCCCACAGACAUAUUCACCCUCAUAAAAACAUCAAUUGCUGCCUGACUAUAUUAGUGGAAAUAAAUUACAGAACUUUAUCUCUCUACCAUGAUUAUGGGCAAAACCACAUAAAAGAGACACUUGGAAGAUGCUUUUGUGUUGAUUGUUACAGAAGCUGCUGAUGCUGUUCUGCUUCUUCAAACCACUAUGAAUUGCAUAUAAUUAAGGGAU
Molecule: long non-coding RNA, 1413 nt
Organism: Anas platyrhynchos (mallard)
Lineage: Eukaryota; Metazoa; Chordata; Aves; Anseriformes; Anatidae
Source: RefSeq, a predicted model, not a curated record